GAUUCCGGGAGAGACCGAAAGGCGCCGAAGGGGAAAGAGCAGAUAACUCUCAGGCAAAAGGACCGGAAU
RNAcentral lists this non-coding RNA (69 nucleotides) under Candidatus Pullichristensenella excrementigallinarum. Its description in RNAcentral is "Glycine riboswitch". It matches the Rfam family "Glycine riboswitch aptamer", at positions 7 to 88 of the family's 94-position model. Rfam says of the family: This family represents the bacterial glycine riboswitch. Glycine riboswitches usually consist of two metabolite-binding aptamers domains with similar structures in tandem. The aptamers cooperatively bind glycine to regulate the expression of downstream genes. The record is from RNAcentral. Lineage: Bacteria; Bacillati; Bacillota; Clostridia.